GCGGAUGGCUGGAUGGUCGCGGGGUAACCCGAGGAAAGUCCGGACUCCAAAAAGCACGGUGCCGGGUAACGCCCGGCGGGGGUAACCCUAGGGAAAGCGCCACAGAAAACAGACUACCUUGGUCGCACCGACGGUGCGCAUUCGUCAAAGCCAAGGAAAAGGUGAAACGGUGGAGUAAGAGCCCACCGCGGGACGGGCAACCGGACCGGCACGGCAAGCCCCACCGGGAGCAAUGCCAAAUAGGGACCCCGCGCCGUUCGCGGCUGGGCGGCUUGAGCCCAAGGAGGUCCGGGUUGGCAGCUAGAGGGCAUCUGGUAACAGGUGCUCAAGAUGAAUGAUCAUCCAUUCGGGGCAACCCGAAGGACAAAAUCCGGCUUAUAGGCCGUCCGCGCUU
This 394-nucleotide RNase P RNA is filed under the name Loktanella sp. S4079. RNAcentral describes it as "Bacterial RNase P class A". It matches the Rfam family "Bacterial RNase P class A". Rfam says of the family: Ribonuclease P (RNase P) is a ubiquitous endoribonuclease, found in archaea, bacteria and eukarya as well as chloroplasts and mitochondria. Its best characterised activity is the generation of mature 5'-ends of tRNAs by cleaving the 5'-leader elements of precursor-tRNAs. The record is from Rfam by way of RNAcentral. Lineage: Bacteria; Pseudomonadati; Pseudomonadota; Alphaproteobacteria; Rhodobacterales; Roseobacteraceae.